RNAcentral lists this ribosomal RNA (303 nucleotides) under uncultured bacterium. RNAcentral's name for it is "partial 16S ribosomal RNA". It matches the Rfam family "Bacterial small subunit ribosomal RNA", at positions 507 to 807 of the family's 1533-position model. The record is from RNAcentral.
AGCAGCAGCCGCGGUAAUACGAAGGGGGCUAGCGUUGUUCGGAAUUACUGGGCGUAAAGCGCACGUAGGCGGAUAUUUAAGUCAGGGGUGAAAUCCCAGAGCUCAACUCUGGAACUGCCUUUGAUACUGGGUAUCUUGAGUAUGGAAGAGGUGAGUGGAAUUCCGAGUGUAGAGGUGAAAUUCGUAGAUAUUCGGAGGAACACCAGUGGCGAAGGCGGCUCACUGGUCCAUUACUGACGCUGAGGUGCGAAAGCGUGGGGAGCAAACAGGAUUAGAUACCCCCGUAGUCCCUGUCUCUUAUAC